AGCUUUGUGCAGUGGCAGUAUCGUAGCCAAUGAGGUUUAUCCGAGGUGCAAUUAUUGCUAAUUGUAAGGGGCUAAUAUCCAAAAUAUACAAGGAACUCAUGAAACUCAACAAUAAAAAAACAAACACCCAGUUGA
Molecule: small nuclear RNA, 135 nt
Organism: Rhinolophus ferrumequinum (greater horseshoe bat)
Lineage: Eukaryota; Metazoa; Chordata; Mammalia; Chiroptera; Rhinolophidae
Gene: U4
Rfam family: U4 spliceosomal RNA
About the family: U4 small nuclear RNA (U4 snRNA) is a component of the major U2-dependent spliceosome. The structure of U4 snRNA from yeast and human has been reported.
Source: Ensembl